ACUGGGACAGUUUUCUGUGUUAUUGAAACACUCUGAUCAGACAGCACUGAACUCCAGUGUUUAUUACAGGAUGGAAAAUACAUUUGUCUUGUGUUUAUUAUUUGUAGUCACUAUUCAUGGAGUUUGGAGUGAGAUCAAACUGGACCAGUCUCCAUCUGAGGUGAAAAGACCAGGAGACACAGUGAAGAUGUCAUGUGUCAUAUCUGGUUAUAGUAUGACAAGCUACAAUAUACACUGGAUACGCCAGAGGCCAGGGAAAGCUCUGGAGUGGAUUGGGAGGAUGAAUACAGGUUCAAACUCUGCUAUAUAUGGCAGCUCCUUUCAAAGCCGUUUCCCCAUGACUGAAGAUGUGUCCAGCAGCACUCAGUACCUCCAGGUCAAGAGUCUGACAGCAGAAGAUUCUGCUGUUUACUUCUGUGCUCGUGAAAGCACAGUGACUGAAGACAGAGGAGCAGCUGCACAAAAACCUCCACACGUAGCAAUGUGACCACAGUCGCAACUG
This is a non-coding RNA of Seriola aureovittata, 502 nucleotides long. Lineage: Eukaryota; Metazoa; Chordata; Actinopteri; Carangiformes; Carangidae. The record is from the annotation of a RefSeq genome assembly.